UACGAACUGUGCAAACGUUAUUCGGAAUCACUGGGCUUAAAGGGCGCGUAGGCGGGAUGGCAAGUCAGUCGUGAAAUCUCUCGGCUCAACCGAGAAACGUCGGCUGAUACUGCCGUUCUUGAGGGAUGCAGAGGAGACUGGAAUUCCCGGUGUAGCGGUGAAAUGUGUAGAGAUCGGGAGGAACACCGGUGGCGAAGGCGGGUCUCUGGGCAUCUCCUGACGCUGAGGCGCGAAAGCGUGGGGAGCAAACGGG
RNAcentral lists this ribosomal RNA (253 nucleotides) under uncultured bacterium. RNAcentral's name for it is "partial 16S ribosomal RNA". It matches the Rfam family "Bacterial small subunit ribosomal RNA", at positions 524 to 776 of the family's 1533-position model. The record is from RNAcentral.